CUGAAAAAUAAUCUCAAAGACAUUCAUACCUGAACUACACCUUUAUUUGCCAAGGUAGAGUACAUGAUCAGUGAAUAUAUUAAAUGUACAGACUACAAUGUGGGGAUCUCAUGCAUGUAAUAACUACAUGUAUAUAUGACUUGCAUCCUUGCCACAACGUUAUAUUAUAUUCUACUCAAUCCAUAGGCUUCAUUGAUGCCAGUCAGACUGUUUUGAAGUUGAUACAACUGGCUAUGAUAGCUGAGGUUCAUAUCUAGGUUCUGAACUAAUAUGUAUACCAAACGUUUGGCUCCAUACACAGAUCGGCUAGAUAGCUAGCUACACAUCCAUAGGCAUACAGGUAUUUUUAUCCUCCACUGCACAAUAAGCAAGAACAUAUUUCAUCUCUCUGCAUUGCAUGGCAAAUAUCAGCAAGGCAAGCUGCACAUUCAAUUUGCAGUAAAUGCUUUAGCUAGCUAGAUUCUUUACGUCCACUGUUUCACAAGACGACAGCCUGGUUUGCUGGUUGUUUCAGGAGUCUCUAAAACAUUUAAACAACCAGAAUUACAAUUUCAUUCUCAUGUCACAACACCCAUAAAGCUAGCCAGCUAACGUUAGCUGGGUAAUGUCCGCUAGUCAGCUAGCUAGCUAAAUUGCGAUUUUCGUAAAUGAACGUUAUAAUGUAAAAAAAUAUGCAUAAUCAUUUUUCUCUACAUUAACUAACAUAUUCCUGUCAACUGUACGUGUUUUGCAUGAUUUGUUAUGACACUAUAAUCACUUACAUUUGCUUCCAUUCUAGUAUUUUUGUCAGUCAUCUUUGCUGAAGAAAGAAUAACAUUCACUAGCGUGUGCAGCCUCUGCAUUAGCAGCCUCCCCAAGGUCCUAGUCCUCUCUCAGAGAGGUUAAGAUGCGAUGGAAAAGUUGACGGGGAAGAAAUGAAAUCACAGAGAAAAUAUAUUGAUUGUCGGAGUGUGUGCUACUGGUCGAAGGAAGUCAGGUGCAGGAGAGCAGAGAUGAGUGAACAGGCACACUUUAUUCAGGCAGAGGAAAAACAGCCGGACGCAAUUGGGUCACAACACUCCGGCCCAAGGAACAAAGCGAAUGCGCACAAAUUACACAAAAUGGUACAAAUAACCAACCCACGGGUUAUAACAAUACCCGGCGCAAAACCAGUCUGAAGCGUCACACACGUAACGAAAAAAACAAUACCACACACAGACAUAGGGGGAACAGAGGAUAAUAUACACGUAGAGUAAUGAGGGGAUGUAAACCAGGUGUGCAGGAAAACAAGACAAAACAAAUGGAAAAUGACAGGUGGAGCGGCGAUGGCUAGAAGACCGGUGACAUCGACCGCAGAACGCCGCCCGAACAAGGAGAGGGACCGACUUCGGCGGGAGUCGUGACAUUGAUAUAUUUAGGGGGUGCUAAUGAAUAUUUUAGGGGGGGCCUAGCAACGUCCCUGAUUAACAGUGAACAUUACACUCACAGAAGUUCCCUCGCUCUCGCAAUUAAAUUUAAGGGCUUUAUUGGCAUGAUGUUAACGUUGCCAAAGCAAGUGAAGUAGAUAAUAAACAAAAGUGAAAUAAACAAUAACAAUUACCAGCAGGGACGUCACUAGAGAUUCAUGGAUAGGGGGGCUAAGCCUCUUUUAGGGGGGUCUGGCAUAUUCCCUCCUGUCCGUUUACUGUUAGCAGGCAGUCUCAAGCCACAGAAGUAGCUAACGUUAACCAAAAUGUUAGCUACAAGUAGGCCUAACGGUGCUUGUACACUAGAUAGCGGUAAAUUGCCGCGUGCCGCUUAUGCCACCCAUUGUGACUCACUUGUGGGGGUGCUGGCAGCAUAUGGCAACAUAUGGCAGCACGUUCGAUUGUGCGUCAAGAGUGCAGCAUAGCAAGUUUGUAUGAAGGUCUGGUAAUAUUAAAUGGGUACAUAGUUAAAUAGUACUAUCCCCUAAAAAUGCUCUGGUGACAAACAAACUUUUCUACCCUGUUUCCAAUUGUCUACAUGGCUGGGAGAACCUGUUCAAGUAAGUAAAUACAUUUAGAAAAAAAAAAUAUAUAUAUACUAUUAGCUAAAUAGCUACAGUGCAGGCUAACUCAAAUGAGCUGCUAAAUGAGCUAGCUAGUUGACUAGCCAACUUGACAUACUGUAUAGAUAGCUAACGUAAACUCGCCUUGGUCCGUACAAUUGACCUUAUUUUAGCGCCCAAAAAAACGUAAUACUUCCAGAUCAACUGUAAUGUCAAUACUAUUGUAAAGCAUAAUUUCAAACCUUUCCAACAAAAUCAAUGACAUGACCUCCAUACUGCCCGUUUCUGCAUGAUUCAAGAAGGCAAUGAGCUCUGUCCGGUCUUUUUAAAAAUGGCGGGUGGGGAAGCGAAACUAAUGCGUGAUAGUGAGAAGGAGAGAUGUCGUGUGGGGAAGGCUUUUUUUCACUCGAUCUGUCCAACUUAUCACCUUAUCGCCUCUAAAAUGUAAAUAAAACACUAUAAAGAGUUUAUAUAAUGUGUCAUUACAUACCUAUUUGAAGGUUUGUGUCGAAUUUGAAUCGGGUUUUUAGGGCGGUGCUAAAGUGAUCUUCAGACGUAAACAAGUGGCUUUUGAGAGUCAUAAUCGCUUGCAGUGAUGACGCAAAAAAUGACUAGGUAUCCCCCUUACCCCGUCACUGUCCAUUUCUUGUUUUUAAACGAUGAGAGAAGUGCUACACCUGGUAGAGAGAGAGAUUGUAAGACAGAAAUAGUUGCUUUAUGCUUGCUGUACGUUACGGCAUGACACGUCACGAUGUAACGGAGGGUCCGUUUUUUCAACUUUUCUGCAAUACUAUAGAGCCAUUACCAUGUCGAUCAGCGCUUGAAUAGAAACGUAGUUCACACCCCAGAUUUUGAAGUCAACAGUCGCUACAGUCCCAUUAGUUUUCUUUGCAGCCUCGUUUGAAUGUCGCGGUUGCGCACAUUUGUACGGAAUGGGAUACCUUGUAACUGGAGAUUCCUUCAAAACGAUUGCCUACAGUUAACGUGUAGGGCACUGCAAGGUUGUGUGACCAGGGCCAUCUGGGACUGCCUCCUGGAGGAAUUCAGGUGUGUGAAGGCUACCUGUGUCCUGCAUAACUUCAUGAGGAUGGACACGAGGACAAGGGGGGAUCUGCAGCUCGCCGCAGUGUGCCAGAGGAGAAGUCUGCUGCUCUGCAGGAUGUUUCAAGAAUGCGGUCCAACAACACAGCAAGAGAGGCAAUCCGUGUGCGGGAGAUCUUCACCUCCUACUUCUUUGAAGAGGGUGCUGUUCCAUUGGCAACACCAUAGACUACACUAUGCACAACCAAAGGCUCUUUUAAGAGCCAUUUACAUUGCAAUAAGAGUAUUCUUCCAUUUACUUAACUAUGUCAACUGCAGUUAUUCAAUUCACAGUUUCUCUCCCUUUGAUUUCUACUUCGCAGGCUCAGGUGUAUAACUGUGGCUCCUUCCACCUUUGAUGAAUAGGCAAGAGGGCCAACCAUGGAGAAUACUGUGUUGGUGAACCCCUCCCUCAUCUGAACUGGCUACAUAGAGGGCACAGCAUGAUCAGAGAUAUGUUUGAUGUGAGAGAGGAUGGCAUCCCCCAGUCCCAUCAUCCCCACCUCACCUGCUUUUAAGAUAACCUUUGGGCCGACGAGAGACACUAUAAUGCAAUUGUGAUGAACUGAGAGAAUAUUUGGGUAGCACUGUGAUUCAUUAAUCAUAUGCUGCCUUCCCUGCUCCUAUGUUUUACCUCUUUCUCUUUGUCUUUUACACCUCUCCCACCACUUGCUCUUCCUUCCUCUGUUUUUAUAAUGCACAACAGAUGUGCACUCAAGUACAGAUUGAACUUGUAUUUAUAAUAUUACAAUUAUAAUGCAUGUAUUUAUAACACUUGGAUAAUGAACUUCUUUCAAUAAAGUGUUUCACAUUCUCUACUGGUUGAAAUUAAGUCUCAUUUGAUGAAGUACUACACCUAUUCUGUGUUUAUCAAAUCAAAGCAGAUGAACGGC
RNAcentral lists this long non-coding RNA (3981 nucleotides) under Salmo salar (Atlantic salmon). RNAcentral describes it as "lncRNA (ENSSSAG00000108511.1)". The stretch from base 3294 to 3339 matches the Rfam family "Histone 3' UTR stem-loop". The record is from RNAcentral. Lineage: Eukaryota; Metazoa; Chordata; Actinopteri; Salmoniformes; Salmonidae.